RNAcentral lists this long non-coding RNA (1122 nucleotides) under Pan troglodytes (chimpanzee). RNAcentral's name for it is "lincRNA". The record is from RNAcentral. Lineage: Eukaryota; Metazoa; Chordata; Mammalia; Primates; Hominidae.
GGGUGAUUCUUCUGGAAUAAUUCAUGUGGCUGCAAUUGGAGCUGGAUGAUCUAAAUGGUCUCACUCCUAGGUCUGGCUGUUGAUGUUGGCUGUUGGCUGAGCCAGGGGCUGCCAGCAGGCUAGCAUGGGCUCUUCACUCAGCAGCAGGGUUCCAAGAGGACAAGCCCAACACACAUGUGCUUUUCAAGCCUGUGAUUAUCAGGCUUGAAAUACUGCAACAUCUGCUGCAAUCAGUAACAACCACAUAAGAAAGCAAUGACAAGUUAUGAUUACUGCUCUGAAGGGAGUGAGCAGGAUGCUGUGAGAGAGGGUUACUAUUCCAAGUGGCACCUGGGCCAGCAGCAUUGGCAUCACCUGGGACUUGUGAGCAAUCCAGCAUCUCAGGCUCCACUGCAGGUCUCCUAAAUCAGAAUCUACAGUUUAACAAGAUCCCCAGCAGAUGUGUGUGUAAGGUUUAUAGAGAGAAAAUUCAAGCCUCAACAGGCCAGCUCAAGAACCUGUUGAGAGGAGCACCUAGCAUAAGACCUGGCUUGUGACAGCUGCUCGUGGCAUGCCCUUCUCCACUAAGCCAACUUGUUAAACCUCUUCACGGCUGAGAUCAUGCUGCUUUCUUCUUCAGAUCUGCGACCCUCUAGCUGGGUGACUUUUAGACAAGUGAUCUGACCUCUCUGAGCCAGAGUUUCUACCUUGUAAAAAAAAAAAAAUCCCUUCCUGCAUGGUCAGCUGUCAUGAAAAGGACACAUGGUGAUGGGCAGACAAAGACAAGGCUUAGCUUCGUGUUUGACUCCUAGGAGCGCCCAGUUCAUGGAGGCUGCUGCUGUUACUAAUCUGUUUCCAUCUUCCCCUGGGAAUCCUGAGGUUUAUCUGUGAGCCUUUGGACUGCUGUAUGGACAACAUACUCUGCAGUAGCAUGAAGAAGUGAGUGAAGACCCUCCCUUGAACCGUUUGCCCUGAAAGAACAGAAGUCACAUCUUGAUAUCUCAGUGCCUUUACAGUGCCAGGGAUGGGGUAGGUGCUGAGCGCCUGGUAUGUGCUCACCCUAUGCUGUACAACACACAGAAAGCCCCACAGGGUUUGAACUGUAAUUAGGUAGAGGGUGUGUGGGACUUGCCUUGGGUCUCU